RNAcentral lists this non-coding RNA (431 nucleotides) under Phaethon lepturus (White-tailed tropicbird). Its description in RNAcentral is "Eukaryotic large subunit ribosomal RNA". It matches the Rfam family "Eukaryotic large subunit ribosomal RNA", at positions 856 to 1120 of the family's 3401-position model. The record is from Rfam by way of RNAcentral. Lineage: Eukaryota; Metazoa; Chordata; Aves; Phaethontiformes; Phaethontidae.
AGGAAACUCUGGUGGAGGUCCGUAGCGGUCCCGACGUGCAGAUCUGUCAUCUGACCCAGGUCUAGGGGCGAAAGACUAAUCGAACCAUCUAGUAGCUGGUUCCCUCUGAAGUUUCCCUCAGGAUAGCUGGCACUCGGCAAUGGGCAGUUUUACCCGGUAAAGCGAAUGAUUAGAGGCCUUGGGGCCGAAACGAUCUCAACCUAUUCUCAAACUUUAUAAUCUUUAUUGGCUCUUCUUGCAAAUCUCUUAUUUUAUCACUUUUUUUUUUCCUUUCCCUGUAAUGAUGGCUAUGCUACUAUGUUUCAUAUGACAUGGUGGUACCAAGUUUCAGGUGUUUCACCAAGUAACUCUAUUUCCUUUUUGGGCAGGAAAGGAGGGGAGUAUUCUAAAUCUUAUAAUUUUUUGACAUACAAGGUUUUAAUUAUCCAAAU